GGAGGUGACAGGUCGGAGCGGAGGGUGAAGCCCUCUCCACCAAUCCCAAUCCCUGCGGUCAUUGCGGACUAAUCGGAGAGCGACAUUCGGCGGGGUGGGGUGGGACAAACGACGACCGCAAAGCCGGCCGCCAUUGGUCAGCCGGAGUAAGGUGCGCUCUGAUUGGAGGGGGCGCGGAUGACGCGCGUCACUGAAGGAGAAGACGGAAAGAAGAAGAAAAACAAAGAUGGCGGCGCGAGGCUGCGGUUUCUGACGGAGGGAGGGGGAGAGCAGACAGGCAUCGUUUACCUCAGAAAAUACCUUUAAAAUACAUUUCACAUUAAAGCCGGAAUUUUCCAAACUGAAGUUGUGAAGAAAGGAAACGGUCCCCGGUGGGGGUUUUAUUGUUCAUUUGUGUACAAUUCCCGGGAAGGGGGAGGUGACGGUUACCGGGUGAACGGGAGAAACAAAUUUAAAAUGUCGGCGGUGGAGGAGAGAGAGCCGGCGCCCGCGGCUCCCACUGCAGCGGGAGGUGGAGGAGCGGCGGCGGCGGCGGCGGGCGGGGGGUGAAGUCCGGCGGAGCACAAGCUGGAGGAGAGGCUGCACUCGGUGCUGUGCUGGACCGUGUCCCUGGAGCUGCCCGCGGCUUCACUCUACCAGUCUAAGGCUGUGCCCUUGGGUCCUAGUCUCUCCUACCAAUGGAAACAACUUUCCAACAUGAAUUCUAUCUGGGCAGUUCAGUAUCUUGCAGAUUUCAAUUGCAUCUUCUCUCAUCCUUCCAAACUCCAUCAGGUAUAGGCCCAGAGUCCUCAAACGUUCCUCAUAUGUUAAGCUUUUCAUUCCUGGGACCAUCCUCUUGAACCUCCUCCGAAUGUGUUCUAAGGCCAGUACAUCCUUGCUGAGAUAUGGGGCCCAAAACUGUGCACAAUACUCCAAAUGUGGCCUGACCAGAGCAUCAGAAGAACAUCCCUGCUUUUAUAUUCGUCUUGUCAAAAUAAAUGUCAUUGUUGCAUUUGCCUUCCGAACUCCUGACUCAGGAGAAAGUGAGGACUGCAGAUGCUUGAGAUCAGAGCUUUUCCAGCAACACAUUUUUUAACUCCUGACUCAACCUGCAUGUUUACCUUGAGACAAUCCUGGACUGGAACUCCCAAGUCUCUUUGCGGUUUGGAUUUCUUAAUUUUCUCCCCAUAAUCCUUCUGUUCCAAGGGCGAGGAUCUGGUGUCAGGGCAGCACCAGAGAUUUCUCGACACACAGAUUGUAUUUGGGGAUACCAAGGGAUCUGAGGAACUGCCAGUAUCUCAGGAAGAAUUGUUAUUCCUGGAGGAGGCAGAGAGGAAAAUGGUAUGGUCCUGUAAACUCCAGAACUUUCCUAACUUCACGAGUCAGCAAUAACUCUUCCUGGGCCAAGAAAUGAAAAGGCCAAUGAGAAACUGCUACAAAGGAGUUACAAAACAAAAUGCUAGUUAACCAUCCCUGGGAAAGAGGAGACAAAACAACAAGCUGUUUCUUGCGACAGACAAGAUAACUGUGUUUAAUAACCUCAUGACACAAGGACAAAUAAGUCUGCCUGUAGAAAGGAGGUCCUGACAUAAAGGGGUUAAUUGCAGGACAGGCUGUUUCAAACACACAGCUAACCCUCAAGGAUAAAAAGCCCUCUCAAGAUGAAUGACAACAUUGUGUCUGCCUUCCUAAUCACCGACUCAGCCUGCAAGCCCGCUCUGAGAGAGAAACCUGGACUGGGAUUUGCAAAUCCAUUGGCACUUCAGGUUUCUAAAGGGGAAGAAAUUCAGAAAAUAGUCCAUGCCUCUAUUCCUCCUACCCAAGUGCAGGAUGAGUUAGAGUGAAAGAUUUCAGCUGCUCCAGUAUUUUGCUAUUAUUUUGUUGUUGGCAUUUCUCACAUCACGGAGUCUGGAAGCACAGAUGCACCAACAAUGAGCUGCUUCAUACCAGGGGCAAGUGUUAGAUACAGAAGGCGAUUAGAAGGAUUGAUCUACAAUCAGGAGAUCUGGAUCAAAGAUCACAGCAAAGUCUGACAGAGUCAGUUCAUUUUAUCACAAUCUGAACAUCAUGACGUUUUGAACAUGAAAGGAAAAAACACCAUUCAAAGUGGAGAGAAACUCUAUACAUGUUGUGACAUCAGGCCUGGCAAGACAACUGGAAUCACAAGGAGAAAUGCUGGAAAUGUUCAGGACUGUGGAAAGGGAUUUAGAUUUCCAUCUGAAUUGGAAACUCAACAUCGCAGUCAUACUGGAAACCUUUCACUUGCUCUGAAUGUGGGAGGGGAUUUACAAAUUCUUCUGACCUGCAGACACCAGUAAAUUCACAUUGGCGAGAGACCAUUCACCUGCUGUCUGUGGGAAGGGAUUCACUGAUUCCUUCGACCUGCAGAUGUAUUCGCGGGUUGACAGUGGGGAGACCCUAUUCAUUUGCUCUCAACGUGGGAAGGGAUUCAGAGAUUCCUCCAUCUUAUGUCCCAUCAAUGUGUUCACACUUAUAGGGGACCAUUCACAUGCUCCCACUUUGGCAUGAGGUUCAGGUGUUUUGCUGACCUCAGCAGACACAAGUGGACCCACACACCAGAGAGACCUGCCAAGAAUAUAGGAAGGGGUUCACUCAGUCAGUCAUCUAGUCUGCUGACACCGGCGAAUUCACGCGCCAGAGAGGCCAUUCACCUGCUGUAAAUGUGGGAAAGGAUUCACUGAUUCAUCCAACCUCCGCACUCAUCAGCAAGAUCCCAGUGAUGAGAGACCAUUCAGAUGCUCCCACUGUGGGUCUUGCUUCAAAUGUUUAUUUGAACUCACCAGUCACCAGCAGACUCACAUUAGGGAGAGACCAUUCACCUGACCUUAGUGUGGGAAGCAGUUCACCCAGUUAUCCAGCCCACUGAGACACCAGGGAAACAGAUUUUACUUGCUCUGAGUGUGGAGAGGGUUUACUCAGCUAUCCAGGCUGCUGACACUGCAGGGAGUUCAUACUGACGAGCGAUUAUUUAAAUGCCCAGACUGUGGAAAGUGUCAAAGAUUCCAGGGCAUUGAUGUCCCAUCAAUGUAUUUACACUUAUGAGAGACCGUUAAGGUGCUCUUACUGCGGGACUGUAGUCACACGGUCAUUUCAAUACAUUAAACAUCAGCAAAUACACAUUUGGGGAGAGGCCAUUUAACUAAACAUGUCUGAAGGAAGGGAUUCAUUCUAUUAUCCAACAUGCUGAACCGUCAGUGAUUUCAUCAGUAAUGACAGUGUUUGGAUUUUGCUGUUAAUCUCAUACAAGAUGGAGCCUUGUUCACUAUGUCUGUAUUAAUGUUAAUGAACCCCAGCCCAGUUAUAGUUCAACUCACUGAAAUCAGUCAACUGAAAGUUGUUCACAAACAGCACCUGGGUAUUGCUGCAAACAGACGUAUGUUGCAGAUAUUUUCUCUUACAUUCAUCGGGAGAAUUUGUAAGAGUAUAAAUUUAACUACAGAACCAAUGUUUAUACUGUAUGAGAAAAGAGCAAGAGUACUCUGGUGGAGGCAUUGCCAUGAAGGAUGCUUCAGCUAACAAUGAUUGACAUUUAACUGCCAGGGGUUGAAAUGGGUGGAGUGCAUAUACAUGCCCUCUCUGUCCAUGAUGAACAGAAUUAAUGAUGUAUAUGUGGGCACAAAUUCAGGUUGACUUAUUUGAUCGUGCUAAUGUUUUAACGCAUCUGCAUAUGUACAGACUGCCUUAGACACAACUAAAGCAGUCUCCCUUUUAUGUUCUAUUUCAUUUUUGACCAGUUCUAUAUCACAUAAAGGUGCAUAAAGUGGUUGCACAAAUUGCUGCAACCAAUUGUCACCAAAUUUUCCAUUUCCACAGGGAAAACUUCUUCCCCUUUUGCAAAGCCCAUAUGUGAUGUCAGUAUAUCUAGUAAUGUAAUGACCAUGUGCUGAGUUGAUAUUGUGAGGCUAUUCACCAAUGAGCCAUCGGCAUCUGCACUGCAGCACCAGAUUGAGGUGUUCUUGACACAGCAGCACCGUAAGAAUCAGAAGUCAUUGAAUUUACAAGCUCGCAAAUUGGCAGGACCAAUUCUGGGUUUACCCUGUCAAACCUCUAAGAACCUGAAAUUUUCAGCCUGAUCUUCUGUCAUUCUUCUAAACUCCAAUGAGUACAGGCUCAGCCUGCUCCAUCUCCUCUCCAAAGGAUAUCCUCUCAUAUCCAGGAUCAAUCGCCUGAACAUUCUCGGAACUGCAUUUCUUAAAAAUAAGGAGACUAAAGCUGUUCACAGUAUUCCAAGUGUAAU
Hemiscyllium ocellatum (epaulette shark) is the source of this 4237-nucleotide long non-coding RNA. RefSeq lists it as uncharacterized. The record is from RefSeq and is a predicted model, not a curated record. Lineage: Eukaryota; Metazoa; Chordata; Chondrichthyes; Orectolobiformes; Hemiscylliidae. The transcript has 5 exons.